GGAGCUGGAGCCUGGGGCUAUCCUGACACCACGUGCAGAGGCAAGGACGUUCGAUGUCAACCGUUUUAGCAAAAAGGAAAAACGCCAUGUGUUGUAGUUGGAGCCGUUUAAGGCGUAGAUGCUUGUUUUACUUGAAAAGAUAUUCUUUAGUGAUGUUCUGGACGGGUAUCAAUAGUUUAGUCUUUUGGACGACUUAUAACGAUUAUAAAAGGCAACCGGAGCAUUAUUAUCUUCAUCAGAUUUUAGGAUCAGGUUUGUGUUUAUCUAGAGCGACAGCUGCAGUUCUGAACUUCAACUGUUUCGUCAUUGUCUUACCCAUGUGUAGGACGGUUACUUCGAUAUUCAGAUCUAUAUUCGGAGGAACUACCAUAAAAAGUAUACAGAUAUGGAUAGAAAUCGGGAAAAGUUUCCAUAUAUUAUGCGCUGUUACCAUCGUUAUUGCUGCAGUUAUUCAUUCAGCUGCACACGUGGUCAACGCGCACAACUUCUCUCAAUAUUACAACCCCCACUUCCCAGAAAUAAAUAUGGCAUCUUAUAAAUAUGAGAAUUCUUUUCUGAUGAUUAUUCGUUCAGUUCCUGGUAUUACUGGUUUGUGUAUGAUUGUUAUUCUUUUUUUAUUAAUUACUUCAUCUUUAAAGCGAAUCAGGACAGCUUUUUACAAUUUAUUUUGGUUUACACACAGAUUAUUUAUUUUGUUUCUUCUAUUAUUGUUUUGUCAUCCUAUGGGUGGAGUGUUAAAGGAACAAAGUAACGUGGAUAAACAUGUUCCGGGUUGCAUCCCUGUUAAUGCUACUUUAGAAAAUUUGCUAAGUAAACCCGCCGAUCAUCCUAUUUGUAAAGAAGCGCCAGUAUUUGUGCCACAAUCUUCCGAAACGUGGAAGUGGAUAGUAGCCGCUUUAGUUGUAUACGGAAUUGACGUUGCCAUAAGAUUAAUUCGAAGAUGUUCCGCCGUUCAAGUACUCGCUCUGAGGAUUUACGGUGGCUCUGUUCUAGAAUUGAGGUUAUUAAAAGCGGGUUUUAGAGCACUUCCGGGGCAGUACGUUUUACUGCAAUGUCCAGCUAUAUCGUCAUUUGAAUGGCAUCCAUUUACUGUUAGUUCGUGCCCGACCGAAAAGGAACCGAGUUUUACUCUACACAUAAGAACUAAAGGAGAUUGGUCAUAUAGCCUUCAACGACAUCUUCUCGAAGAAAUGGGUUUUAGUGGAUUGAAUAUUAAAUCCUCCGAACUGUUAGUUAAUCCUCAUCGUAACGUCACCGGUUUAUAUGUAGAUGGACCAUUCUGCAGCAACUCGGAAAGUGUAAGGAAUUACGAAAUUAGCAUUUGUAUAGCCGGAGGAAUAGGCGUUACUCCAUUUGUAUCAAUUCUUACUUACUUAAGGGUAUGAUCGGUGAACAGUACGGCCUUUUAGAGGCUAGAUUACAUAUCGGACGUCCGAAAUGGAAGAAAGUAUUCAGAAAUUGGACCGAAAUUUAUGAAAAAAUACGAGUUGGAGUAUUUUGUUGCG
Molecule: unclassified non-coding RNA, 1505 nt
Filed under: Centruroides sculpturatus (bark scorpion)
Lineage: Eukaryota; Metazoa; Arthropoda; Arachnida; Scorpiones; Buthidae
Description: nADPH oxidase 4-like, transcript variant X3
Source: RNAcentral